Topomyia yanbarensis is the source of this 986-nucleotide long non-coding RNA. RefSeq lists it as uncharacterized. The transcript has 4 exons. Lineage: Eukaryota; Metazoa; Arthropoda; Insecta; Diptera; Culicidae. The record is from RefSeq and is a predicted model, not a curated record.
CCCUGAAGCAAACAGCUCGCAGUUCGCGCAUCGCACGCGAUUUGCAGUGAAAGCGUGAAAUUAAAAAUCACACAAGAACGAUUUCUCAUCGUGGGAAGACACUAAGUAACGAUCGAGACAGGUUCGGCCAAGAUCAUAAUGUAGACAAGUCCCAAGAAGUGUCAGAAAAAAAACAUUUCUAAUUUCGAGGAAAAACCGCCCGCUAGUUUAAACCACACAAAUAAGAAAUGAAAAUCCCUGCAGCAGCCGAAUAGUCCCGAAAGUUGCACCGUAAGUGAGUCAUACAAUAGCUAUCAAGAUGCCAUCUCGGCUCUCGAGGUCCGUCUGCACUGGCCAACAAAACCAUAUGUGACAUAUGUGGUAAGCGAUAUUUGAUGGGAGAGGAUCUUACACUCACACAGGCAAUAAACCGUUCGAAUGUGAUAAACGGUAUUCCCAGCGCGAGGGUCUUAUCUAUCACAAAAAUCUUCACAGCGGCGAACGAACGCACAAGCGUAAUAUAUGCGGUAAAUUAUUCCUUCGAAUAAAGAGACCUGGUACUUCACGAACAACGCACUCAUAGCACCGAAAAGCCGCACAAGUGCGACGUUUGUGACAGGUUUUUUUUUGAAAGAUUUUUUUGAAACAUUUCAAAGUGGCAUCCCUGCAUACAGGUGGGAUUUUUGCGGCAAGAAAUACUCAAGAUGUAGCGAAAUGAAUCAACACAAACAGAUUUAUUUGUACGUUAAUCUGUGCGCAACCUGCGGAAAAGGGUUCCUACAAAGUGAACAUAUUGCGCUGCACCAGCAAGAAAACAAAACCAAGACGCAAAAGGAAGCGGCAGCUGACAGGGCUGUAGUGUCUUGAAACCUAGUGACCAAAUGUGGUUUUAUGAAGUAAUCAUGUCUCUUCCCCACCAGCAGGGGAAUCCCGACUAGAGCACUCUAGUUAGACUGUGGCCAAGAGGCCAUGACGUAUCCAAACGAACAUGAAAUUUGACAUUUCUA